This 375-nucleotide long non-coding RNA is filed under the name Equus asinus (donkey). Its description in RNAcentral is "lncRNA (ENSEASG00005036943.1)". Lineage: Eukaryota; Metazoa; Chordata; Mammalia; Perissodactyla; Equidae. The record is from RNAcentral.
CACAACUUCUGCAGAAGGCGGGGGUAGGAGGGGCAGACACCAGGGUGGGAGCCCUGGGCCUUGUGGGCCUGGACCCACCCUGGCCUGGAGACACAGCGGAGCCAGAUGAAAUGCAGGACACCAGGGCCCCCAUAUUUUUACUUGCUGGAUCUGGCAACCUGCUUAGGGGGAUGGCAGUGCCACUGCUGGGUGCCAGGCGGGCAGCUGCGAGGCCAGCGGGAUCUGAGGGCGUGCCGCCGUGGGAAUGGCAGGCCGAGGGGAACAUCCACCUCCUUCACUGACCCACCCGCUCUAUUCCGCCCGGGGUCAUUCACGGUCCCCAAGUCCGCCUCUCGGCCCGAACCAUCUCCUCCCCACCGCCGCUCUGGCUUCGCC